Molecule: ribosomal RNA, 167 nt
Filed under: uncultured bacterium
Lineage: Bacteria
Description: partial 16S ribosomal RNA
Rfam family: Bacterial small subunit ribosomal RNA
Source: RNAcentral
UACGGGAGGCAGCAGUGGGGAAUAUUGGACAAUGGGCGCAAGCCUGAUCCAGCAAUGCCGCGUGAGUGAUGAAGGCCCUCGGGUCGUAAAGCUCUUUUACCAGGGAUGAUAAUGACAGUACCUGGAGAAUAAGCUCCGGCUAACUCCGUGCCAGCAGCCGCGGUAAU